CAGGCCUAACACAUGCAAGUCGAGGGGCAGCAUGAUCGAAGCUUGCUUUGAUUGAUGGCGACCGGCGCACGGGUGAGUAACGCGUAUCCAACCUUCCCUAUAGUAGAGAAUAGCCCGGCGAAAGUCGGAUUAAUGCUCUAUGUUGUAUUUAGAAGACAUCUGAAGAAUACCAAAGGUUUACCGCUAUAGGAUGGGGAUGCGUCUGAUUAGGUAGUAGGCGGGGUAACGGCCCACCUAGCCGACGAUCAGUAGGGGUUCUGAGAGGAAGGUCCCCCACAUUGGAACUGAGACACGGUCCAAACUCCUACGGGAGGCAGCAGUGAGGAAUAUUGGUCAAUGGACGGAAGUCUGAACCAGCCAAGUAGCGUGCAGGAUGACGGCCCUAUGGGUUGUAAACUGCUUUUAUAUAGGGAUAAAGUCGGGGACGUGUCCCCGUUUGUAGGUACUAUAUGAAUAAGGACCGGCUAAUUCCGUGCCAGCAGCCGCGGUAAUACGGAGGAUGCGAGCGUUAUCCGGAUUUAUUGGGUUUAAAGGGUGCGCAGGCGGGCGAUUAAGUCAGCGGUGAAAGGCUCGGGCUCAACCGGAGCAGUGCCGUUGAUACUGGUUGUCUUGAAUGCGGUCAAGGCCGGCGGAAUGUGGCGUGUAGCGGUGAAAUGCAUAGAUAUGCCACAGAACACCGAUAGCGAAGGCAGCUGGCCGGGCCUGCAUUGACGCUCAGGCACGAAAGCGUGGGGAUCGAACAGGAUUAGAUACCCUGGUAGUCCACGCUGUAAACGAUGGACACUCGUUGUCGGCGACAGACAGUCGGCGGCCAAGCGAAAGUGAUAAGUGUCCCACCUGGGGAGUACGGUCGCAAGGCUGAAACUCAAAGGAAUUGACGGGGGCCCGCACAAGCGGUGGAGCAUGUGGUUUAAUUCGAUGAUACGCGAGGAACCUUACCCGGGUUAGAACGCAGGACGGCGGACACAGAGAUGUGAACUCCCUUCGGGGCGUCCUGUGAGGUGCUGCAUGGUUGUCGUCAGCUCGUGCCGUGAGGUGUCAGGUUAAGUCCUAUAACGAGCGCAACCCCUACCCCCAGUUGCCAUCGGUUCGGCCGGGCACUCUGAGGGAACUGCCCACGCAAGUGGAGAGGAAGGCGGGGAUGACGUCAAAUCAGCACGGCCCUUACGUCCGGGGCGACACACGUGCUACAAUGGCCGGCACAGAGGGCAGCCACCUGGUGACAGGGAGCGAAUCCCGAAAGCCGGUCUCAGUCCGGAUCGGAGUCUGCAACCCGACCCCAUGAAGCUGGAUUCGCUAGUAAUCGCGCAUCAGCCAUGGCGCGGUGAAUACGUUCCCSY
This 1340-nucleotide ribosomal RNA is filed under the name uncultured rumen bacterium. RNAcentral's name for it is "partial 16S ribosomal RNA". It matches the Rfam family "Bacterial small subunit ribosomal RNA", at positions 43 to 1377 of the family's 1533-position model. The record is from RNAcentral.